CUUGCAAUGUUUUUGAUCUCUGAUUUAUUUUGUGUUUGAACAACAAUAGCCUGGAAGAAUGUUAUUUUUGUAUUUACAAUUAAAUUUCCUAUAAUUGACGGCUAUGCAAGUGGACAAGCAGGGACGUUCGGAAAGCGGGAUAAAUGUAAUUCACAGAAAAUGUUCUCGUCAAAAAAAAGAAAAAAAAAAAGAGGGAUGGUAGUUGUCAGUUCAUUUCUUUGUUUUUAACGUGGAGAUUACGAGUCUCAACAUUCCCCUCUACAGCACCCAUCUCUGCUCGCCCGAUGUCUCUGAUCCACCCAGCG
RNAcentral lists this long non-coding RNA (305 nucleotides) under Elaeis guineensis (African oil palm). Its description in RNAcentral is "long non-coding RNA (EGUI_LNC045152)". Lineage: Eukaryota; Viridiplantae; Streptophyta; Magnoliopsida; Arecales; Arecaceae. The record is from RNAcentral.